UUCAAAGUAGCAGCUUGCUGAUUCAUUGGGCUUUUAGUUAAUACGGACGAAGUUAGCAGUGUUCACUUUCACUCUUCUACGGACCUAUGACCUUGACAUCACGCCUGAGCCUCUAUCCUCUCUGCUGCAAUAUUCUUUAAAAGGAUAAGUCAAAACAUCAAAUUUUUCAUUAAAUAUAACUCGAGUAGAUAUUGUCUUGCAUGUAUGGCUGUGCAUUUUGUCCAAAUAUUGAUGUUACGCAAUUAUCCGUCUAGAUUGUAGCAUCUUUAUUACAUCAUCUUAUAAUUUUUUUCUACUAUCUGUUUCUAUAACAGUAUCAUACCUAUUAUUUAAUUAUUUGAAAGCCGGUGUUAAAUAUGUCAAUACAGGAAAAAAUAUAAGGAAGGAUUAUCGUUUGAUAUUAUUAACUCAUCCGAAACUGUUCCAUUUAUCUUCCACUAAAAGUAACGUGUUUGACGAUCGUUGUUUCUAGCUCAGAUAGGAAACUCAGAUUGAUUAGGUGUUAUUAAGUUUUAUUUGAACAGGCAAAGCUCAACUUGCAUUGUAACUGUACUAUUUCAUGCAAAUAGACAGUGUUAGAAGUGCUCUACUUGAUGUUUGUGUUUACAAGCAAUAAUGAUAGUGCGUUCCUAUCUGGAUUAAAUCUACAUUUACAGAAGAUUACAAGCGAUAACAGAAUCUUUACGAAAUAAAGCAAGACCCAAUCUAUAAAUUUUAUUUUGUCAACAAAUCGUAUUUAUCGGGUUCUUUUCAAGAAAAAUUUAUCCAAAUUGAAUUUUUUUAUUAUGACAAAUUUAAAAUUCUCAUUCUUGUACCGUGAUAUUUUAUUAGCAAAUAAUUAUUAUGAUCUGACUAUUAAAUUUGAAUUAUGUUUCAGGCUACAAUACUACUCAUCCUAAACAUGAGAAGAACCAGUACCGUGGCCUCGGUCCUACGUUGAUCCGACGUCCUCUCUGUGACACUUCUCAUCAUAUAACACUUCUUCACGUGUGUUGCAAAACACGCAAAGUAUGAAAGUUGGUUGAAUGGAAAAAAGUGUGACUGAGUGAGUGCGUGUAGAACUACAUUUAACUCAAACAAUAAUUCUCCACUACACAGCAUAUUAAGGGUGAUGUCGUCAAUGUGGCAGGAGGCCGCCCCACUCACACUAAUACACACACGACACAUAUACUAGGUAAUGUAUUGUUUUACUUAAAAAUUGUAUUGUAAGUUUGGCUACAAUAGUUAUUUCAGAAUGGCACAAUAAUGUUAAUUAUA
Molecule: long non-coding RNA, 1257 nt
Organism: Homalodisca vitripennis (glassy-winged sharpshooter)
Lineage: Eukaryota; Metazoa; Arthropoda; Insecta; Hemiptera; Cicadellidae
Exons: 3
Source: RefSeq, a predicted model, not a curated record